AAAAUCUUAAGCUAGCUAGGCUACAAUAUAUGGAAAAAUUGACCAAUUAAUCCUACAAAUUAGAGAAUGGUGGUAAAUCUAGCAAUAUGGUUUCAGGACCAAUUGCAUUUUUUAUCAAGAGAAUUGUUCCUCUUGGCACAGCAAGCAGUAGAGAGGACAAUAAGAGUGAAGAAGAUCACACAAACUAAGAAUAUAGCCAAAAUUCUCCACUGCUUCCUUAUGCUGGAUAGGACCCCAGCUUUGCAUGAAUUGCAGUUGUAGCAUAGCUGCUUCGGGUCGUUACUCCAUGUCUUACAGUCACUGUCGUCCACUUCCGGCCCAGAUUUUGCCGCCGUCCACUUUGUUCCAUUCCUAUACUGAAAUCUGCAUUCUGCCGGCGGCUUGCAGCAACCCGCCUGAGAACCAAAUGAAUGAAAAAAAAAUGCAAAUUAAUGAGAUCAUGAGAUGGCUAAGAAAUUGAAGAAGUAAUUACCUCCAUGGGAGAAAAUUUCUUCUUCAAGAAAUCAUUUUGGUUAUUAUCAUCAGUAAAGGCCUUGCAAACUUUAGCUUCAAUCAAACAACUCCUGAGUACAUCCCAGUUCUUCCCUUUAACAAAGUGAUUCUGUAACCAAUGCGAGUAAUCUCCAAGCCUGUGCUCCUUAAAUCCUCUACCAGACAAGGCCUUACCCGCAUCCUCAUUGGUGACGAAGAAAGCGAAAGUCGUGAAUACCAGGAGGCCAACAAACAUAAAAAACAAGAGGAUCAGAUAAAGCCAAAACAAACAAUUGUUCCUGCAGCAUGAACCCACCAACCCCAGGAAUGAAACUAGAAGCAGAAAGACACCCAGUAUGACUAGCGAGUUCCGCAGGGAUUUUUGGCAAGUGGUGGCGGAGGCAUGCAAAUGAAUGUAUACUCCGCCAGCUAUGACGGCGAGGCUAACUAGGAGGAAGAUGACGUUGAGAAGUGCGACUACAGUGUUGCUUACACGAACCAUGGCGUCGACGAU
RNAcentral lists this unclassified non-coding RNA (985 nucleotides) under Hevea brasiliensis (rubber tree). Lineage: Eukaryota; Viridiplantae; Streptophyta; Magnoliopsida; Malpighiales; Euphorbiaceae. The record is from RNAcentral.